CAGCAGCCGCGGUAAUACGAAGGGUGCAAGCGUUACUCGGAAUUACUGGGCGUAAAGCGUGCGUAGGUGGUGGUUUAAGUCCGUUGUGAAAGCCCUGGGCUCAACCUGGGAAUUGCAGUGGAUACUGGGUCACUAGAGUGUGGUAGAGGAUAGUGGAAUUUCCGGUGUAGCAGUGAAAUGCGUAGAGAUCGGAAGGAACAUCUGUGGCGAAGGCGACUAUCUGGGCCAACACUGACACUGAGGCACGAAAGCGUGGGGAGCAAACAGGAUUAGAUUCCCCUGUAGUCCCUGUCUCUUAUAC
This 301-nucleotide ribosomal RNA is filed under the name uncultured bacterium. RNAcentral's name for it is "partial 16S ribosomal RNA". It matches the Rfam family "Bacterial small subunit ribosomal RNA", at positions 509 to 807 of the family's 1533-position model. The record is from RNAcentral.